UUUUGGUUGUUUGCCUGGUCUCUUGCUGGGUGGACGGCUACUAGUCUGGUGGUUUCGGGGAAUGCUAACCGUAAAGGUGCGUGAGUGGUGUUUGGCGUGUUACGGGUGGUUGGAUGUCUGCUUGUGCAGCAACGUCCAUUUGUGCACGCCUCUUCAUUGGUGCGACAAGGUCUUCAUGCCCUUGAGCAUUCGUCGGGUUGUCUGUGUUGCCUACCUAAAUGACGGUAUCGUAUCGUCCAUCAAUGUCCCUUUUCAUCGUGGGUCGUUUGUGCGGCUCGCGGUGAACCUUGAAGCGGUCUCUUUGAUCCAUCUUGUCGACGCUUGUGCGUCUUCGAUGUGGCUCGUUGGGCACGGCUUGGUUUUUCGGAUACGGAAGCUUUUAUGGGCAUGCGGUCUUUUAUGAUUGCUUGUUUGCCCUUAUCAAGCGUUCUCGCUUCUUUGAAACGACCGUUGGUCACGUCUCGACAUGUUCGUGCGUGGCCGAUGACGUCGAAGAGGGAUGCUACCUGGUUGAUCCUGCCAGUAGUCAUAUGCUUGUCU
RNAcentral lists this unclassified non-coding RNA (540 nucleotides) under Urmenetea atacamensis. Its description in RNAcentral is "partial external transcribed spacer". Lineage: Eukaryota; Viridiplantae; Streptophyta; Magnoliopsida; Asterales; Asteraceae. The record is from RNAcentral.